This 257-nucleotide ribosomal RNA is filed under the name uncultured bacterium. RNAcentral's name for it is "partial 16S ribosomal RNA". It matches the Rfam family "Bacterial small subunit ribosomal RNA", at positions 524 to 776 of the family's 1533-position model. The record is from RNAcentral.
UACGGAGGGUGCAAGCGUUGUUCGGAAUUAUUGGGCGUAAAGGGCGUGUAGGCGGUUCGUUAAGUCUGAUGUGAAAGCCCCGGGCUCAACCUGGGAAGUGCAUUGGAAACUGGCGAACUUGAGUACGGGGAGAGGGCAGUGGAAUUCCUAGUGUAGGAGUGAAAUCCGUAGAUAUUAGGAGGAACACCGGUGGCGAAGGCGGGCUGCCUGGACCGAUACUGACGCUGGAGACGCGAAAGCCGUGGGGAGCAAACGGG